UCUCCGUAGGUGAACCUGCGGAGGGAUCAUUACUGAGUGAGGGCUCCGGCCCGACCUCCAACCCCAUGUGAACCGAAACCUGUUGCUUCGGGGGCGACCCUGCCUUUCGGCGCGGCGCCCCCGGAGGCUCAUCAAACACUGCAUCUGUGCGUCUGAGUGAUUAAUCAAUCCAUUAAAACUUUCAACAACGGAUCUCUUGGUUCUGGCAUCGAUGAAGAACGCAGC
RNAcentral lists this unclassified non-coding RNA (225 nucleotides) under uncultured fungus. RNAcentral's name for it is "sequence contains ITS1, 5.8S rRNA gene". The stretch from base 177 to 225 matches the Rfam family "5.8S ribosomal RNA", at positions 1 to 49 of the family's 154-position model. Lineage: Eukaryota; Fungi. The record is from RNAcentral.